CAGUAGCCGCGGUAAAACCAGCACCUCGAGUGGUCAGGAGGUUUAUUGGGCCUAAAGCAUCCGUAGCCGGUUGUUUAAGUUUUCGGUUAAAUCUAUGCGCUUAACGUAUAGGCUGCCGAAAAUACUGGACAGCUAGGGAGUGGGAGAGGUACACGGUACUCAAUAGGAAGGGGUAAAAUCCUUUGAUCUGUUGAUGACCACCUGUGGCGAAGGCGGUGUACCAGAACACGUUCGACGGUGAGGGAUGAAAGCUGGGGGAGCAAACCGGAUUAGAUACCCCCGUAGUCCCUGUCUCUUAUAC
This 301-nucleotide ribosomal RNA is filed under the name uncultured bacterium. RNAcentral describes it as "partial 16S ribosomal RNA". It matches the Rfam family "Archaeal small subunit ribosomal RNA", at positions 459 to 760 of the family's 1478-position model. The record is from RNAcentral.